GGUGUAUGCAGAAGAUGCAUAGAAACCCACAAAAAAGAAAUCAGUAUGGGGGUAGAUCUGAAGGAGGAGCUGAAAGAAAUGUGUACCUUGCUUGAAAAGUCAGCAAAUGAAUCAAACAACACAGAGCAAAGAGACAGUAAUGUGGAGCAAAUGGAAGUAACUGUAACAGAAAGUACAUU
This is a long non-coding RNA of Saccostrea cuccullata (small rock oyster), 179 nucleotides long. RefSeq lists it as uncharacterized. The transcript is spliced from 3 exons. The record is from RefSeq and is a predicted model, not a curated record. Lineage: Eukaryota; Metazoa; Mollusca; Bivalvia; Ostreida; Ostreidae.